Vicia faba (fava bean) is the source of this 261-nucleotide non-coding RNA. The record is from the annotation of a GenBank genome assembly. Lineage: Eukaryota; Viridiplantae; Streptophyta; Magnoliopsida; Fabales; Fabaceae.
AUGACUAUUAUUUGGGCUUAUUUUGCACUUCAUAACAUUUUAAGAAGAAGAAACUCAACUAACUUGGAUAUUCUUAAAAGUUUAGAGAACAUCAGUGGUUUACUGGACAAUGAGCAAGAUUUUCAUGAAGGAGAUGAAAAUGGUGUAUCUAUUCAUGGUGAAUGGCAAACUCCAACUCAAGUUGAUGUUAGCUAUAUUGAAGAAAUAAGAAACACCAUCGGAGACCAAUUACUUAGAAACAUGGAGCUAAAACGACAAUAG